AGAAACCGUUAGAAUCCAUCUCUUCACCCAUACUGAAGCCUGAGCUGCCCCACCCAGCCCCUAUCCACUAUCAAGGACACUUGUCUGCUAUCAGAAACCCUGGGGACACUAUUCCCUGCUUUAUCAAGGACCUGAGGAAACAUUUCUCCAACUGAAGAUAAGCCCCACCCCCCCAAACCACCACCCACGCAAACAUACUCUUUUUCUUUUCUCCCGGCUAGUGAAAUUGAGUUUCUUUCUGUCUUUUUCUGGAAAGAAGGCAUUUUCUACCUGGAUCUGCAGUGACUUGCGGAGAGGCAGAAAACUGAUGUAACUAACUGGCCCUGAAAUGUCCUAAAUGAGUCUGCAAAUGCUCACCUUAGCUCUGCUCACAGUACCCAAGGAUGUCUUGAUUGGCUGGAAGUCAGAUGCCUGUGGCAACUAAAUGUUUUAAGAAUUUUGCAUGUGAGCCAAAAUCAUAUCAAAAGAGAGCUUUAUUUUUGUGACUUUCACAACUAACAAGAUGUAUGUUGCAACUCAGCAUCUAAUGGUUGAAAGAAAAAAAAGGUAAAUUGUCAUGGCUGGCAUUAGCAGAAGUCCAUUUUAGCAAAGAAAUGUAGUCAUGGGCAUUUGAGACUCUUCUUCCCUGGAAAAUAAUUGUAAAUGUACUAAGAAGGAAAAAAAGGAAAUUCCCAGUGAGAAAAAAAAAUAAUCCAACUGGGGUCACGUUUAUCAUCCAGACUGAUUCAGACUUCUGAUAUUCUUAUUUCAGAAGGAAAAUUUGGACAAUGUCAAAACUUGAGGAUAUUUAAUAUUUUUGAGGGUGGAGGAGAAAUUACAGUUUAGCCUUGCUGGGUAGGGAUCAAGAGAGAACGUCUUUAGCUCUCAAAAACUGUUUUACACAUUCAAACAGCCUCAGAAUGGCUGAAUCGCUCCUGAACAUGGCAGUUACUGGUUGCUAUGGGAAGAUAUGAUAGGGCCAUGAUUACUUUAAAAAAUCAGUCAUAAUAAAAACACAUUUGAGACUCGAUUCUAAAUGCUAUACUUAAAUUUGGGCGACUUAAUUGCCCAUAGAAUAGAAAUGAAGUCCCACCAGUAGGCAGUAACUUCUUACAGCCACUGUGUGUGAAAUUGAAAUCUUAAGAUAUCAUAUCAAAUAUGCACCUUCUCGAAGAAAGCUCUCCCCAAAGAGUUGUGACAGAUAAGAAAUUGACCCAAAGUUGCAUGCAUGCCUCUCUUUUUUUCCCUUUAACACACUCAGGUCAAAGCAAAG
RNAcentral lists this long non-coding RNA (1252 nucleotides) under Cricetulus griseus (Chinese hamster). RNAcentral describes it as "lncRNA (ENSCGRG00015032871.1)". Lineage: Eukaryota; Metazoa; Chordata; Mammalia; Rodentia; Cricetidae. The record is from RNAcentral.